Molecule: ribosomal RNA, 274 nt
Filed under: uncultured bacterium
Lineage: Bacteria
Description: partial 16S ribosomal RNA
Rfam family: Bacterial small subunit ribosomal RNA
Source: RNAcentral
CCUACGGGGGGCAGCAGUGAGGAAUAUUGGUCAAUGGGCGGGAGCCUGAACCAGCCAUGCCGCGUGAAGGCGAGUGCCCUACGGGCGUUAAACUUCUUUUGUGCGGGAGCAAUAAGGGCCACGUGUGGCCCGAUGAGAGUACCGCACGAAUAAGCAUCGGCUAACUCCGUGCCAGCAGCCGCGGUAAUACGGGGGAUGCGAGCGUUGUUCGGAAUGACUGGGCGUAAAGGGUGUGUAGGCGGUGUAGCAAGUUAGAAGUGAAAUACCUAGAGCU